This 971-nucleotide long non-coding RNA is filed under the name Mus musculus (house mouse). Its description in RNAcentral is "predicted gene 16087 (Gm16087)". The record is from RNAcentral. Lineage: Eukaryota; Metazoa; Chordata; Mammalia; Rodentia; Muridae.
GCAUGGACAGGCGCUUGCACAGGGUGAGGCACUGGGCAGGACCUGGGCUCGAGACCCCAAGAGAGCCGAGCACCAGGGAGCUACUGGGCCCUGUCCUCCGUCUGGACAGCCCAGUUCUCCCCUGAUGCAGGUAGGAUCUGCGAAGCCCGUGCUGUCGGAUGGUAGCGCUUCCUAGCACUAGGUGUGAUAUUUGCCGCCAGCAUCAGCACAAACCAGGCCUCUUGGUAGAAGAAACUGCCCUGGACUUGCUUCAAGAACUUGAGUGAGCAAACACUUCCUGCACUUGUUUGUGCAGCCAACCCCUGCAAGUCCUGGCAGUGUCCUGGGUCCUCACUCCUAUCCCAUUGACCACACAGGUCAUUUGGUAACUCUGAGGGACAGACAGGCUCACCCGUAAAAGGAGAAAACGCAUUUUGCUGAGCUCAGACUGGACUAGAAUUGCUUAUAGAGUAAGAUGGGACUCUAGGCUUCAGCUUUGUUUGCUGCAAGGAUGUUAGGCUUUGGGACAGUGUGCUUUGGUGGUUUUCAGUCAGAAAAAAAAGGAGAAAAAUCCACAGCUCAGCGUUGUCCUCUGCUAUAUGGGGACCGAGGACUACACCAAGAGCCCGCAUGGACUUUCACCAGCGCAGGGCACUAUAAGGAAGAAUGCAUGGCUUCUGAAAUCGUUGCUUCCUGCUUUGAAUCCCGGCUCUGCCAUUAGGCUUAGGCCCUGAAGAUGCCCUGCUGUUGGAAGAAGACACAACAGUCACACGAUCUCAUACUCGGAUUUGAAAAUCCCCUUCCAGGGGACCUAUCCUGCAGGCCCUUGAAUUGACCCCUUAAAGUCUUCGAAGCUUCACACUGACCACCCCUCCUUGGCUGUCUUGUGACCACAACCCCUUGACUCUUCCCAACAACAUUUGCACCGACUUAGUAUUCUGGUGCUUUGGGGAGCAACAUUUAAAAAUAAACCAACUUGGCACACUGUCAAA